ACGUAGGGUGCGAGCGUUGUCCGGAAUGACUGGGCGUAAAGAGCUCGUAGGUGGUUUGUCGCGUUGGUCGUGAAAUCUCACGGCUUAACUGUGAGCGUGCGGGCGAUACGGGCAGACUAGAGUACUGCAGGGGAGACUGGAAUUCCUGGUGUAGCGGUGGAAUGCGCAGAUAUCAGGAGGAACACCGGUGGCGAAGGCGGGUCUCUGGGCAGUAACUGACGCUGAGGAGCGAAAGCGUGGGGAGCGAACAGG
Molecule: ribosomal RNA, 252 nt
Filed under: uncultured bacterium
Lineage: Bacteria
Description: partial 16S ribosomal RNA
Rfam family: Bacterial small subunit ribosomal RNA
Source: RNAcentral